AUCCGAGGUGAUCAGUCACAACCUCCGAGACCACCGUGAUACCUCAUUUUGUAAGGCGAGGAAAAGCAUCUAAAAUCACACACUCAUUUUAUCGGUCUCGUGUAGUUUUCCAUUGCUCUCAGCCUAAGGCUCAAGAGCCCUUGAUGGCUAUGGACUGGUUUCUAUUCUCGGUUCAUAUUCUCUGGCAUGCAAUACGUAUCGAGCGACCUAGCAGAGUGGAAGACACGGAAGGCAACUGCGUGCUUGCAGUCUGUGAGCGGGACAGAAUGGCGGCGGUCACGUUACCCUCAGGACGCUCAGAGUCCAGGGGGUGAUGCAGCCUCGCUGCGAAGGUGCUGUCCAGGCUGCCUUACCUGCACUUUGCCUCUCUCAGACCUAGUUUCUUCUCACCACGUGAGCUCACUGGGACUGCGGAAAUCUAAGUUCCAGCAUGGGUUAGAAAUAUGUGGUGGCUAUGAUUUUCACUAAGAGGUGCCAAUGGUAAACAUUUUUCAUCCACUUGGGAUAUUAAAAAAAAAAGUAGUACAUAAUGAAAUGAUUCAUUUGGCAUUUUCACCUAAUAGAAUUAAAAAUAUGUCCAAACAGUGCUUUUGCAGCACUGAACCAUGAGCGUGUCCUUUCAGGGCUACAGUUAAAAUGAUUUUAUUUCUUUUAGAUUGUUCUUCAAAG
This 669-nucleotide long non-coding RNA is filed under the name Fukomys damarensis (Damara mole-rat). Its description in RNAcentral is "lncRNA (ENSFDAG00000029158.1)". Lineage: Eukaryota; Metazoa; Chordata; Mammalia; Rodentia; Bathyergidae. The record is from RNAcentral.